UUGGUGAUGGUGAUGUGUUUGUAGAUCUUUCUUUACUGAAUAUUCUUGUUGCUACAAUUAUCUCUAUCUAUAAUGAACUUGGCCCAGUAAUUACAGUGGAAAAUAUUUCCUAAAAAUUUACAAAAAUUAACAAAAAUUUAUGAAAAUUGUUAACAAUUGACUAUAAAGAGCAAUAACUCCUUCAGGGGUCAAUUGACAAUUUUGGUUUUGUUGACUUAUUUGUAGAUCUUAUUUUGCUGAACAUUAUUGCUGUUUACAGUUUAUCUCUAUCUAUAAUAAUAUUCAAGAUAAUAACCAAAAUCUG
Molecule: long non-coding RNA, 304 nt
Filed under: Mytilus galloprovincialis (Mediterranean mussel)
Lineage: Eukaryota; Metazoa; Mollusca; Bivalvia; Mytilida; Mytilidae
Source: RNAcentral